Molecule: long non-coding RNA, 1481 nt
Filed under: Scophthalmus maximus (turbot)
Lineage: Eukaryota; Metazoa; Chordata; Actinopteri; Pleuronectiformes; Scophthalmidae
Description: lncRNA (ENSSMAG00000035250.1)
Source: RNAcentral
CAUAGAACAGAGAGGCUAAAGUUGUCACUGUGGCAACCGUCGCCGAUAACCGAGUAAUAUUUUAAUGAUUGUAAGGUUUGUAACUAGUCAAAUAAGAAAAGAAAAAAAAAAGUCUAUUAUAAAAAUCUAGUUCUUAGAUGUUUAGAGUAAAGAUGUUAUUUUCUACUGUAUCCAUUUCAAAUAGUUACUAUUGUUUGAAUAUUUUUACUCUCCCUGGAAAUUGGGCCAUGUUGGAAAACAAGCUGCAUAUUUGAUCACUUUUUUCAGGGGCGUCGCUGACGGGGUCAGGUGAACGUGGCGAGUAGGGAGCCGAGUACCCACACUCAUCUCCUCCUCAGCUGACUGCAAACAAAAAGGGUGGGGGCGGGGAAUCUUGAGGCGAUAAAAGUGAUGAAGGUUGACUUUUUUGCACUUCUGUACAUAGUCAAAAAAGAGAGAAUCAUGUAUAUUGAGAUCUUAUUUUGAAUAAAAAAAAAAUGUCUAUAAUGACAUGGAAUUUUGCUAGGAUAACACAAAAAAAAAAUCUUAUGAAAGGCUGAACAAAAUUGCUUGCAUCAAAUAGGGCACUGAGUUCUCACUCUCCUACCCGUUUCAGAAAAGGCCAAGUGUUGCUCUUCUUUUUCGUCAGCAGCUUGUAGUUUGCCCGGUAACCUUCCGGAGGAGGCGUCCACUACACCUCCAGCGUAAGAGCCUGACUGGGUUUGUCUGGUCCCCUAACCUGCCUGUAUCUACAGGCCUCCUGAAAGGAUGUGUCAUGUGUGCAUGCCGGUCCCCUCCUCCGGAAAAGCACCUGUAGAGGGAAACCACACGUACGCCACAGUCUAAAGCCAUACAAUAUAAUCUCAUCAGAGCGAAGUGUGUGUGUGGAGAAGGCAGAAAUGUAACAGAGGAGGCAAAUAGUACCAUCUGAACCUGGUAUGAGUGAGUCUGCUGAGGUUUUAUUAACAACAACGUCAUGUGAAUAACUCGAGACGUGAAUGCCAACUUUGAUGGAUGAGAGUGAGACGUCUUGGCACAUUUUUUCAAGUGGCCUGUAUUGCUAUAUUGAUUCUUGCUGUUAUGAAUUCAAAAAAAUGUAAUAAAAAUUUACAAAUGAACUGAAGUGAAGAAGAGUUUCCUUAAGACGAGUUUCAUUUAAUUUACAGUACAUAGGUGUUGUAGUACAAGGUUAGUCUGCGUAACUAACAUUUUGGGGAAAUACACUUCAUGAUUAUAUUCCUGAGAGUCGGACUAGAAGCACGAGGUCAACAGUCACGUGUCUGUACACUGAAUAUAAAUCAGAGGGGGCUGUAGUGUUCAGAUCCAUUGCUCAUGUAGUGUAGAAAUACUCCAUUACAAUUAAAAGUCCUGCAUUCAAAAUAUUUGCAUUUCAGUAAAAUUACAUAAUUAUUGACAGGUAAACCUAAUUCAAGUAUCAAAGUAUUCACACACACAAAAACUUGUUAUGUUUUUACAUAUUAUUGAGUAAUGCAGUACCAAUG